UGCCACACCUGGCAAUGGGCAAAGAGUCACCUUGUUGGUGGGGUUGCUCUUACAUAAGGCAGGGACAGAGCAGAUGGCAGUCCUUUGUUCAUCCUAGCUUGAUGCCUGGCUUGGUGACCAAAGAUGUUUUAUGGCUGAGACUCAUAA
Molecule: small nucleolar RNA, 147 nt
Filed under: Mus musculus (house mouse)
Lineage: Eukaryota; Metazoa; Chordata; Mammalia; Rodentia; Muridae
Description: Small nucleolar RNA SNORA48
Rfam family: Small nucleolar RNA SNORA48
About the family: The snoRNA ACA 48 has been identified to guide pseudouridylation of the residue U3797 in the 28S rRNA subunit. Its host gene EIF4A1 (eukaryotic translation initiation factor 4A1) is shared with U67 and snoRNA mgU6-77
Source: Rfam by way of RNAcentral